CUUUGUGUUGGUGAUGGGGCUCACCAUAAUGCAUUACAGAUGCUAAUGGCUCCUGCUUUAAU
This 62-nucleotide non-coding RNA is filed under the name [Clostridium] cellulosi. RNAcentral's name for it is "Clostridium cellulosi Fluoride sequence". It matches the Rfam family "Fluoride riboswitch aptamer (crcB RNA motif)". The record is from Rfam by way of RNAcentral. Lineage: Bacteria; Bacillati; Bacillota; Clostridia; Eubacteriales; Oscillospiraceae.